CGUUAUUUUUUAACAGACAUUCAGAGACACACGACUUCUAAUAUGUUUUCCAACUUUUUAAGUUUCACAAGUUUGAGGGAUUUAUAAAAUAAUAAGGAACAGUAGGUUCGUAAAAUGUAUGAAACUUUCGGAUUGGCUCGCGCAAAACAAUCGGAAUUCGAAUUUGGCAAACCAAACGGAUAAGUAAAACAAGCAGUGAGUGUGAAAAACGUUUAAGUGACCAAUGCCAGGCAGAGUGAUGCCACCGACAGGGAGGGGAAUGGACAACAAAGGCCCAAAACAAAAAUUGUCACAAGAGGUUGAACAAACAUCUGCAUAUUGUGACAAUUCUCCAGCAAAAAAGAAAAAAGCACACAGUAGUAAACCACCAGCGUCAUACUCUUCAGAUUUGUUUGAGGCUGAACUUGCAGGUGCAAAUAGAGAGGUCAACAUGCUAUUUUCCAAAUACUCUGAAGUGUUGAGUGAGAGGGCUGCAAUAGAUGCCUCACAAGUUAGGGAGUUGGAAGACAUAUUGAUGGAGGCCAGAAACUUGGAGUCACACCUGAAAGAGAAGAAAGAACACUUGAGGCGUACCUUGGCUCUUAUUUCUGACAAACUACAGGGAUAGACUAGCUACACAGGCCUGCAUGCUACAGACAUUUGUAAAUAUUUCCUCACAGAUCUCAAUCAGUAACAUGUCAGUACUUUUAUUUUUACCUGUAUGUAUGCUUUUUAUGUUGACUGUCUUCACUCUUAAUCCCACACUGGCAAACAAAAUGUGAGUGCCAUUGUGGUUAAUAUCUUUAUAUAUGAGCUAUUUAUUUGUAGCCUACUGUAAACAAUAAAUAGGGUUAAAAGGU
Oncorhynchus mykiss (rainbow trout) is the source of this 839-nucleotide non-coding RNA. The record is from RefSeq and is a predicted model, not a curated record. NCBI's taxonomy places the organism in Eukaryota, Metazoa, Chordata, Actinopteri, Salmoniformes, Salmonidae.